RNAcentral lists this transfer RNA (68 nucleotides) under Ictidomys tridecemlineatus (thirteen-lined ground squirrel). Its description in RNAcentral is "Spermophilus tridecemlineatus (thirteen-lined ground squirrel) tRNA". It matches the Rfam family "tRNA". Rfam says of the family: Transfer RNA (tRNA) molecules are approximately 80 nucleotides in length. Their secondary structure includes four short double-helical elements and three loops (D, anti-codon, and T loops). Lineage: Eukaryota; Metazoa; Chordata; Mammalia; Rodentia; Sciuridae. The record is from Rfam by way of RNAcentral.
GGAGUUGUAGCUUCGUGGUAGAGCACUUGCCUUGCAAGUAUGAGGCACUGGGUUCGAUCCUAGCACCA